Callorhinus ursinus (northern fur seal) is the source of this 2169-nucleotide non-coding RNA. Lineage: Eukaryota; Metazoa; Chordata; Mammalia; Carnivora; Otariidae. The record is from RefSeq and is a predicted model, not a curated record.
AAUGCUAAUAGAAGAAUGUGCACAUUACUGGGGGAAAAUGCAUGGUGGAACCAUUCUAACAUGAUUUGUCAGGACACAAACUUGUCAGUUUUCCAAGCCUUGUUUCUCUCCUUUCUUCUUUGAACUCUUAAUACUCCAAAAGUUUUAAGUUAGGUAUAUAAUAAUCUGAGGUAAAACUAGAAGAUUAGGUUAGAAGUCUUAUUCUCAGAAUACCAGCAAGUCCUGCAAUAAAUAAAACUUAGAACAUUCUUUAAUUAAGACUCUUUAAUAUGUCACUAUUAUGCACACACAAAUAACUUUAGUCAUAUUCCUAAUAAUGAUUUUUGUGACAAUAUAUGGAGUGGAUAGUGCUUUCUGGGGGGUUAGCCUAGGGCACAAACAGAGCUCAAUGCUGCAUUAAUUUCUCUGAGACUGUGAGAUACAGGCGCUAGCUCUCACCAUUGUCAAUCAAGUUUUCCCACAUGUAGCAAAAUUAGUUAGCAUCCUCAUCUGUGCUUCAAUUUUAAUUAUCAUGUUUAGAAUUUCAGCAAAUGAAAGGAAGUUUCUUUGGCUAGCUGAAACCCUAACAAACUUGGACAGAGCUGACUUGUACCGAGACAAUGGAAAAAACUGGGUUGGAAGUAAAAAGUUUAUAAAGGCAUGAAAACAUUAAAUAGAACGAGACCAGAAUCUACUAAGCCUUUUUUAGAACAGCUCCCAUAAGCAAAGACUCUUCCAAUUAGUGAGUAUGGCACUUAAUAGUCACUGGUGUUGUCCAAGUCUGCAAAACAGCAGAAAACGCCAGGGAGUUUGAAGGUUGUUAGUUUUUAAAAUACCAUACACUGUAAAACUGCCUGAUAGAAUAACUCUGGAUCAUCUUACAUCUCAGAAAAAUGUCCAUUCCCUUUCCCUUUUCAAAAGAUCCAACUGUUCACAUGCACUACAAGAGACUUUCAACAUUACUCAAAACCAAUGUCUGUCAAAAAAUGCCCUCAUUAUAUUUUCUAGUUGUUUGCUGUAAUAGGAUUUAACGUGCAUCUUCAUUUUCAAGAAUUCUAAUUACUUAAAAAUAUGGUAUGGCUCUAUAUACCUAAUAAAUUUGUUAAAAAAGGGAAUUAUAUAUGGUAGAGGUGAAAAAUGUCAUAACCCCAAAAUAAUCAUGAGAAUGUUCCCAAAUUUAAGUGGUUGCUUACCCACAUCUUCCUAAGGUCUAAAUACCUAUGAGUCUCCACUUAAGUGAAGUACACUAUCUGAAAUAAGACGAGGAAAUUAAGUUGGCAGUCUAAAUUUCUAGACCGCUCCCAGACCACAAAUUCCUAUUAAAAGAUGCAAAAUCAUUUGAUCACACUUACUAUUCGUGUGGCCUUGACAAGUUGAUUAAUCUCAUCUAAAAAAUGGUGAUACUAAAGCACCUAACUUGAGAAUUGCUGUGAGGAUUAAAUGAGUUAAUACAUGAAAAGUUCUUAGAGCACUAUCUGGCACUUAGUAAAUCCUCAGUAAAUGUCCCCAGACACCACCUUCUCAAAAAAAAAAAAAAAAAAAAUUCUCCUGACAUAGAGACUCCAGAUCAUACGCUUUUUUGAUAGGGGGGAGUGCAUAAAUCCUCAUUCAGAGUUUUAGACACUUUUCCCUCCUACCAUUCUCAAAUAAGAGGAAGAAGUUUAAAGAGAUUUUAUCUAUUUCAAAAAUGUGGGUGAUGCAACUUCUGAAUCAGUUAUUACAAAACAAAUGCCUAUGGCAUUCCAAGAAUCAUGCUGGAUUCUAUGUAGGCAAAGAUAUUUAAGACAGCCCAACACAUAAAAAAAUUGAAGGCAAUGUUAAAAGAAAAAAGAACUUUUUCUGAACAAAAUGUUUCAUUUUACCACCAUCAAGGCCAAAGUAUAUUUUAGUUCAAUGUACAACUAGCUGAACAAUGUAACAACCUGGCACAAAAAGUCUCGGAUGCCGUCUUUUACACUCCCUUUCAAACUUAAGAACUACCAGUACGUCAUAUAUUAUCUCUGCCUUACUGACUCAGAAGUCCCUGAAAGGGGUGGAAUCUGCAUUACAAGUUUCCCAGGCUUACACCAGCUGUUGUAUGGAAAACAGAAUGAAAAGAGGCAAGGGAUAAAGUUUUAAGACCAGUUAGCAGGUGAAUCAAAAAUUUAAAAUCAAGAAGUAUCAAAAGCUACAUACAAAAAGGCCAACAAC